GUAGGUGGCAAGCGUUGUCCGGAAUUAUUGGGCGUAAAGCGCGCGCAGGCGGUCCUUUAAGUCUGAUGUGAAAGCCCACGGCUCAACCGUGGAGGGUCAUUGGAAACUGGGGGACUUGAGUACAGAAGAGGAAAGCGGAAUUCCACGUGUAGCGGUGAAAUGCGUAGAGAUGUGGAGGAACACCAGUGGCGAAGGCGGCUUUCUGGUCUGUAACUGACGCUGAGGCGCGAAAGCGUGGGGAGCAAACAGGAUUAGAUACCCUGGUAGUCCACGCCGUAAACGAUGAGUGCUAAGUGUUAGGGGGGUUUCCCGCCCCCCUUAGUGCUGCAGCUAACGCAUUAAGCACCCCCGCCUGGGGGAGUACGGCCGCAAGGCUG
Molecule: ribosomal RNA, 377 nt
Filed under: uncultured organism
Description: partial 16S ribosomal RNA
Rfam family: Bacterial small subunit ribosomal RNA
Source: RNAcentral